This 400-nucleotide ribosomal RNA is filed under the name uncultured bacterium. Its description in RNAcentral is "bacterial SSU rRNA". It matches the Rfam family "Bacterial small subunit ribosomal RNA", at positions 356 to 773 of the family's 1533-position model. The record is from RNAcentral.
GGGGAAUAUUGCACAAUGGGGGAAACCCUGAUGCAGCGACGCCGCGUGGAGGAAGAAGGUCUUCGGAUUGUAAACUCCUGUUGUUGAGGGAGAUAAUGACGGUACUCAACAAGGAAGUGACGGCUAACUACGUGCCAGCAGCCGCGGUAAAACGUAGGUCACAAGCGUUGUCCGGAAUUACUGGGUGUAAAGGGAGCGCAGGCGGGAGAACAAGUUGGAAGUGAAAUCCAUGGGCUCAACCCAAGAACUGCUUUCAGAACUGUUUUUCUUGAGUAGUGCAGAGGUAGGCGGAAUUCCCGGUGUAGCGGUGGAAUGCGUAGAUAUCGGUAGGAACACCAGUGGCGAAGGCGGCCUACUGGGCACCAACUGACGCUGAGGCUCGAAAGUGUGGGUAGCAAAC